UAUUUGUACAAAAAAGAUAGCUAGCCUCCAAAAAAUUUCCUCUCUACACUCUCCUUACAGACUCUCUACCUCUUCAUCUUCCAAGUGUUGUAAAUCACUAAUCCAACUCUUGAAAUCCUAGAGAAUCACAAGGUUAUUCUUGUCGUAGUGUUGGUGAUCGUUGAGAAGAUGUUCAUGUGAAGAACAAGAGAAAUUUUGAAAGGGUUGGGAAUCUACGAAGGUACUAUCACACACUCAUAUACUUACAAUGGAAGAGUUGUGUCUCAUCAUCAUUAAAUCCAAAUAAUCAUGUCUUUUCAAAGGUACGUGAGAACUACUACGUGAAUCUCACCUUAUAGCCCAUUUUAAUAUAAUAUAGACGUAGAUCACAUUUUAUUGUGUAAAAUCAAGCACUUAAUUGAUUUUGAUUAGUGAUUAAAUGUGGUUUUAACUUUUUCAAAUUGCUCCCAUGAAACAUGGCCAAUUAUAUAUAACAUAAUUGCCGGUAGAAUUCUCUCACAUGAAUUUUCUUCCUUUAAGGCUUAAAGCCGCUUAACCGAGUCUUGAAGUUUGGAGUCAAUAAGUGUGUGGGAUUAAAAAAUUUGUGUUUAGAGUGCAUGAGUUGAAUUAAUAAGUUAGAGGUAUUUAGUUUAGUUUUUUUUAUUAAAAAAUAUAACUUUCUGGUAAUUAUUUUUAUUUGCUUUAAUUUUUUGCAUAACACUUCAAUUAUACAUAUAUUUUUCUAAAUUCUUAAAACUGUCAACUUAAACCUUUAUGUAUAUUUUGUACUUUUGUAUAAUAAGGAUUGUACUUGAGGUAGACAAAAUACUCUUAUUUCAUACAAACCACAAAAUUAUAAUAUAAUUUCAGUCUUUCACAUUAGUACAAUGUAUGAGUGUAAUAUGAACAUAAUUUUAAAAGUAUUCCAUCAAGGGGUAUAAGUCAUUUUAUGGCAUCUUAUGUCAAAUUGUAGGUUAAGGCUUAUUAUGCAUAUAUGUUGGCAUUGGGAAUGUGACUAAAGUCCUACAUCUCCUAAAUAGGAGAUGAUCAUGGGUAUAUAUGGAAAGAAAACUAAGGGUGUGUUUAGAGUACCUUUCUAAGUGAUUAAACUAAAAGAAAAAAGUUAUUUUGAAAAAAAAAAAAUUCAUGUGUUUGGCAACCACCCAAAAUAGAUUUUCAAAAAAUGAGUUUAAAAUAAGUUGGUUUAUGAUAAACACUUAAAACCAACUUUUAGAGAAAUGAUUUUUCAGUGUUCAAUGGUUUAUAAGUUUUAUGAGUGAUUUAUGCAAAAACAAGUCGUGCUUUAGCAUUGAUUUUUGAAAUAAUGUAAAAAUAUGUCUAAAAAGAGUCGAAUAUUGAGUAAUUCUUGUGUUUUUAUGUCAUGGGUAAGAAAAUGUCAAAAUUGUGAUUGAAUUACGAUCACAAGGCUUUAGGUGAUAGAAUGUUGAGUUACAGAGAAGAGCCAAAUUGCACUCAAGUUGCGAUUAGAUUGCAACUACGACCUGCCAGAAACAAAAAAUUUUCCAUAUUUCUUUCUUUAAUUUUUUUGAACAUUAUAAAUUCUUCUCAAAUUCAAUCCAAAUCAGAUCAAGUCUGCAUAGUUUAUUCUGUCCAAACUGAUUAGAAAAGAGCUACAGUGCAUUCUAAGGAAACCCUAACCAUUUGAAGUCUAUAAAAAGCGUCAUUUGUUCUCUUUGAUCAAUUGUUCAACAAGCUCAAGCCACCAAGGAACUUUAGAGUUUUUCUAUCUUUUAUUUUCCAUAAUACACCCAAUGGAUUGUUGUUUUCGUUCUUCUUCAUCUUUCUAAAUCUUUUUUGGGUGUUUGGGUUGAACAAGCACAAAGACUAGUAGUCAUCUCGAAAGGGAGGGCUUAGCUAGAUUGAAAGGUAAGUUGAAAAGCUCUAUCGUAUUUCCUUUCCAUUUUAGUAUACUUUUGAAUUCUUACAACAGUGUAGUUUACAUCAUUUUUGCUAUUUUUUUAUAUUCUUUUACAUUUAAACAAGUUUGUAUUCGUUUCCAUUCAUUUAGUAACAUGACUUAUUACAUUCUUUACACUUUGUGCUCUUCACUUUUCAUUAUGAGUUAAAUAUUCUUUUGGGAUUCAAAGAUGUGGAUACCCCAAGGAUGAAAUAAAAGCUCCAUGUGUGUCCCCCUUUUACUUGCUCAACACUGAGUUCACAUUUGCUUUUAUUGAUUUAAUGUAAAUUGUUAACUUGGAUUAUUGAUCACCUAAGUUAGCAUACAAUGUUGAGUCUAAUAUUGAAAGAGAUAGAUAACAAACGGUUUUCAUAAAAGUAAUAUCGGAGAAAAGUUUACACGGGAUUUCAUUUGACCCCUAAACAUAGGGUAAUGUCUAUAGAAUCAUUUAGAUUGCAUGGUUAAUUAUCUAAGUUUGAAUUAGCCAUAAAAAUAUGUGUCUGAUUGCUUAGUCUUCUAAAGGUGAUUCUUCAAAGGAGAAUGGAGUUGAACGAUUUACGUGGCUAAGUGUGUUGAUUGGGGUAGAUUACAAGUGCAAUAUCUUCCUAUACAACUUAAUCCUUCUUAGAUGGGGUGCAUCUUGAUCACAUGCCAAGUAGUAUCUGGAUCUAGUUGAGCAGAAUAUAUGCAAGCGUAUAAUCGACGUAAUGUCCAAUUUGCAGGUUGCAAAUUUAUUUUGAAUCUCAUACUUUUAUCAUAUCUUUUCACAAUCAAAUAAAUUUUCUUGAUUACCAUCAAUUGUAAACUGUGAGGAGACUUUCCUUUGUUCAAAAUGGAUUGCUUAUACUCUAUUCCCUUGAAAUUCGAUACAUUGACUUAUCCAUUUUAUAUUACUUGUUGGUAAUCUAUACAUGCACCUAGGGACUGUUCGUUCUAACAUCUAACAUAAUCUUCAUCGAAGGUAGUCAACGAAAGUGUUCACCAUCGGAGUUUGACUAUCAGAGGUGGUCAUCUAAGCACAUUUCAUUGGAUUGAGGUGGCAAUAGUUAUGCAAUAAUGGUUGUUGCCAGAGUUGGGCUCCGGAGGUGGCUGCCAAAGUUGGCUAUCAGAGUUGGCUAUCGAAGCAUGUCGCUGAUAACUUGUAGAAAUAAAAGUUAUUUAUGCUGCCUUAUCUAGAUAUUGUGGCCAAAGAGAAGGAAUAUGCAUCGAUUGAAAUCAAGUCACCGUUUGCGAUCGAGGCUCAACGAGAAAUUGAACAAUGCAUCUCUGUCACAUUGCGCUCGUCAAUCAACAAUGAAUAGAUGAUUAACGCAAUGACGAUGCAAUGCGACAGUCGAUUCAGAGCUGAAUUUCAACCGCAUGCGGUAAUAAAAACAUC
This is a non-coding RNA of Benincasa hispida (wax gourd), 3275 nucleotides long. The record is from RefSeq and is a predicted model, not a curated record. NCBI's taxonomy places the organism in Eukaryota, Viridiplantae, Streptophyta, Magnoliopsida, Cucurbitales, Cucurbitaceae.